Molecule: RNA transcript, 4471 nt
Organism: Phyllostomus hastatus (greater spear-nosed bat)
Lineage: Eukaryota; Metazoa; Chordata; Mammalia; Chiroptera; Phyllostomidae
Gene: PPP4C
Gene name: protein phosphatase 4 catalytic subunit
Exons: 11
Source: RefSeq, a predicted model, not a curated record
CACAUCCGACGCGCGGCGGAACUGCACUCCCUUUGCUGCCGCGGCGGGGCCGGAAGUAGAAGCGGCUGUGGCGGCGGCGCAAAGCUGAGGGAAGUAGGAAGGCAGGGAGCCGGCGAGCCGGAGCCGAAGUCACAGCGGCGGAGACCCCUGUGCGGUGCGGAGGGGGCGGUGGCCCCGGCUCUGACCCGCGCCGGGGGAGGGGUUGGGCCAUGGCGGAGAUCAGCGACCUGGACCGGCAGAUCGAGCAGCUGCGGCGCUGCGAGCUCAUCAAGGAGAGCGAAGUCAAGGCCCUGUGCGCCAAGGCCCGAGAGAUCUUGGUAGAGGAGAGCAACGUGCAGAGGGUGGAUUCGCCUGUCACAGUAUGCGGUGACAUUCAUGGACAAUUCUAUGACCUCAAGGAGCUGUUCAGAGUGGGUGGCGACGUCCCUGAGACCAACUACCUCUUCAUGGGGGAUUUUGUGGAUCGUGGUUUCUACAGUGUUGAAACGUUCCUCCUGCUGCUGGCACUUAAGGUUCGCUAUCCUGACCGAAUCACCCUGAUCCGGGGCAACCAUGAGAGCCGUCAGAUCACCCAGGUCUACGGCUUUUAUGACGAGUGCCUGCGCAAAUAUGGCUCGGUGACCGUGUGGCGCUACUGCACUGAGAUCUUUGACUACCUCAGCCUGUCGGCCAUCAUCGAUGGCAAGAUCUUCUGUGUGCACGGGGGCCUCUCCCCCUCCAUCCAGACCCUUGACCAGAUCCGGACAAUUGACCGAAAGCAAGAGGUGCCUCACGAUGGUCCCAUGUGUGACCUGCUCUGGUCUGAUCCUGAAGACACAACAGGCUGGGGUGUGAGCCCCCGUGGGGCUGGCUACCUAUUUGGCAGUGACGUGGUGGCUCAGUUCAAUGCAGCCAACGACAUUGACAUGAUCUGCCGUGCCCACCAGCUGGUGAUGGAAGGUUACAAGUGGCACUUCAAUGAGACUGUGCUCACUGUGUGGUCGGCACCCAACUACUGCUACCGCUGUGGGAACGUGGCAGCCAUCCUGGAGCUGGAUGAGCAUCUCCAGAAAGAUUUCAUCAUCUUUGAGGCCGCUCCCCAAGAGACACGGGGCAUCCCCUCCAAGAAGCCUGUGGCCGACUACUUCCUGUGACCCUUUGGUCCCUGCCCUCCCCCUCCAGCCCCUCUGGCCCUUGGACCACUGUGACGCUACCCUCUUCUUCAGAUGGAGGCUGGGCAUGGAGGGCUGCCCCCAGCUCUGCUCUCCCCGCAGAGGGCACUUCGAUGGUGAGGACUUUCUCUGGAGAGGCUCGGAGCCGCCGCUCCAUGCUCCUCCUCUCCUUUCUCCCCACCUGAACCAUGAAGUUUCCAAUAAUUUUUGUUUUUUCUUUUUUUUUGUUUGUUUGUUUGUUUUUAGAUAAAAAUUUUGAGAAAAAGAAAAAAUUCUAAUAGAAGAAAUAUGGUCUUUGGGUUUGUGUCAGACUUGAUUGGGGGUGGUAGAGAUGCCAGCCUGGGACCAGGAUGCACACCUGGACCUUGACUGCCCUAGAGCCUUGGUUUCCACAGGAAGGUGAGGCUCAGGCCACUUUACUUGCGUGGAGCCUCCUGGUCCCCAUCCACUGACAGUUCUAGGUAGAGGGCCGUGUUCUGCGAGACAGUCCUAUUCUGAAAACAAUGAGUGUCUCAGGACAUUGAUUCUGCCAUUUUCUUGAAGAGGAGCCAGGCCCAGAGCAGGUGGACUUGCUCAUGUGCACAAGAUCAAGCAUCUGGAAAAAUGGCAAGUCUAGAUUGGGGUGGGGGUCUCCCCACAAAAACCUUUGCUUACCCAGUCCCUCCCAGGGCCAAACACCAUUAGCCCAAUGUUUCCAGAGCACUGAUGUCUUUUCAGUUUUAUUAGCAAAAAUACUCUGUUCCUGAGAACAGAUUGGUGUGGCUCACACCGGGGCCAGGAGAUAUGGCUAGCUGAGCCCCAGGGUGAAGCCGGGGCGUGGGUAGUGCUGGCCCAGGGCCCCAUUUGGCCAGGCAGAGCCUCCCUCUAUUCACACAGAGGUGAAAGUCGGGAAGGGGAAGCUGGCCCCAGCUGGACUCCCAGCAGCUUAGCCAGAGCUUUGAAGCCAGAGGGGGUGGGAAUGAAGUCAAAGUGUGAAGUGGGGUGGAAGAGGCCCAAGGCAGCCAUUUGGUGUGGGGGGUGGGGCCAGUGGAAGUGAGGGAGCUAUAGGUCUGGGGGAAGGGAACUGAAAGUUUGUGGUGGACAACUGAGGGAGGGAGGCAGAGGGGCUAGCAAUGGCUCAGUACAUAGGUUUGGAGCCCAUAUUGAGGUAGGCCCCGGGCUCAGGGUAGGGUAAGGGCAAGGGACCCCCUUGGAGGAAAUGGGAGGCAAAGGAUGCUGGGUGUGCAGCUGCUAGGUAUCCUGAGCCUCCUGGCCCAGGCUGCAGCUCUAGGGAUGCAGCUGAGUAGGGCGCAGGGCACCCAGAGUCUGGAGCCUGAGGAUAGCUGGGGUUCCUGAAGUGGAGAAAGGUAUCAGGACAGGUGAGGGACCCAUCCACCCACCCACCCCCAAGCUAGAACAACCCAGUCCUGUGCCUUUGUCCCACUCACCUGGUUGGGAGGUGACUGGGAGCCCCAUGGAAAGCUGCAGGGUGCAGAAGGUAGGCCUCAGCACUGGAGCUACCACAUGGAGGAGCUGGGGCAGGGGCAGCUUCCCUGAGAGCUGGGGCCUGCUCUGGAUCUGACUCACGAAUAUCUCCACCCAGUGUGGAAUCGCAGGGGCCACCUGGUGCAUCUAGGGGGGUGGAAGAAACAGGUUCGGCUAAGGAGGAUCAGCAUCUGAGGCUUGGCCCCAUCGCUAUUGGGACUACUCACCUCCACUCCCACAGGCCUCUGUAGCUACUGGCUCUGGGCCUCGAAGUUUCCUCUUAACACGAGCGUCUCGCUCCCUGGGAAGUACAAUGAUAAUAGCACCAGGUGCCAGGCAUUCACCCUCUCAGGGACCCUAUUAAGUUUUUUUAUUAUACCCAUUUUACAGAGGAAGGAACUGAAGGCCACAGAAUUCAAUGACUAGAAAGUAGCAGAGGUGGGACUUAUUCCACACUUAGAACUUCCUGAUGGUUUCCUAUUGUAUUUAGAAUCAGUGGAAACCUUCCAAAGCAGCUAGGCUCAUCCCACCUUUCUCUCUCUGGCCAUCUCAACUGCCUUUCAGGCCCCUUUUCUGGCCCCUCUUCACCUGCUUAACUCAUCCUUGUCUCAGUUCAUGUAUAACUUCCCCCCAAGAAGUCCUCUGACCUCCCACAUACCAUACCCUCCCUGAUAACAUUUGUCAAGUUACACUGUUAAAUUUGUUAGGGUAAUCUUUUGAUUAAUGUCUGUCUCUUCUGCUUUGAGGGCGAGGGCCAGCUCGGGCUGUACUCAGAAUAAAAGCCAAGGUCCUAACUAAACCUCACUUCUGUCACUUCACUUCACUCCAGCCACAGCACAGUUUCUGCCAUUCUCCCGGAAACCCUUGGCAAAGGGGUUGGCUGCAAUCUUCAGCUGUGUGAUCUGGGGGCAUACAUUCAGAGUCAAAGCUCCUGCAGCCUGGGCAGAGUGCCACCACCCACCACCCCUGCUGACGUCGGGGUCCUUAUUUUCCGGGCUGUACCUGCUCUGCCAGUGACUACAGUGUGACCUUGAUUUUGAGAAACUGAGGUCCAAGGAAGUGUAGCAGCUUGCUCGAGAUUAUCCAGAUGAUAAGAGGCGAAGUUGGGAUUCUCACCACCGCUUUGGCCAUGAUACCAGGGACAGACUCUUGGAAUGGAUGAGCUAAAGCUGGCCACCGGUGUUAGACCCUGGGCGCCAGAGCCUGGGGACAAGCCAGUUCCUACCGUUGAGCCUCACCUUCUCCCACUGCUAGGCUCCUCUGAUGCCCCUGUCCCUCCAGGCCGAGUUGGUGUCUGCUGUGGGCUCCCCCUUUCCCUUUCUCAUCUCUGAGUGUGCUUAAACAUGUCUGUCACACUAAACUUGUUUUGUUUCUUGCAGUGCCCCGGGGAUCCAGCCUGGCCUAGUUCAGUCAAUACAAGUUUGUGAAAUUCGUGCUUUAUUAAGUGACAUACUAGGGCCGCAGAGGGCUGAGGAAUUUGGGGAGCUUCUGGAGUAGGAAACAGGAGUGGCAGGUUGGAAGGCUGAGGCAGCAGAUGGGUGUUGCUGGGAAUUCAGCUGUCCCAGCCAUGCCCACCCUCUGCAGCCAAGUGAGGAGGUCCACAAGGGCAAGUUAAGCCCCUUGCUGUGUGCUCUGCACUCUAAUGGCCUCAAAAUGGAAUGAUUAUCUGUGGCUCUGAAGGGACAUUCCUGAUGAGAGUGGAAGCCAGGCUGGCAUGGGGUGCAGUAUCACUCUGGGUCUGGAAUGCAGUGGAACCAGUGAGUCAGGCUGGUUAGGGCCCCAGACUCUGGCCUUAGACUGUCCUAGGUUGCCAUGAUUGCAGUUCAAUAGGAUCUCCCAUCCCCACCCUCCAAAAA